UCCUUGGUGGUUCAGUGGUUAAGACUCUGCACUUCCACUGCAGAGGGUAGAGGUUCUAUCCCUGGUUGGGGAA
This 73-nucleotide transfer RNA is filed under the name Ovis aries (sheep). It matches the Rfam family "tRNA". Rfam says of the family: Transfer RNA (tRNA) molecules are approximately 80 nucleotides in length. Their secondary structure includes four short double-helical elements and three loops (D, anti-codon, and T loops). Lineage: Eukaryota; Metazoa; Chordata; Mammalia; Artiodactyla; Bovidae. The record is from Rfam by way of RNAcentral.